AUUGCAUACAAGCCGAGUUUCGUGAAUGAACGAAAGCGGGGGACCCGAUAAAUGGGGUGAAUAUCGCAGUUGUGGAUGUAUAGAAUCCACUUGCGAUUAGGGCAGCCUGAACGUGCCCGAAUCCGACAGCUAACCUCGUAGGCAUGUACGUCAGGAUAC
This 159-nucleotide small RNA is filed under the name Paenibacillus alvei. RNAcentral describes it as "ydaO-yuaA". It matches the Rfam family "c-di-AMP riboswitch aptamer (ydaO/yuaA leader)". Rfam says of the family: This family represents a conserved RNA structure found upstream of the ydaO and yuaA genes in Bacillus subtilis and related genes in other bacteria. The record is from RNAcentral. Lineage: Bacteria; Bacillati; Bacillota; Bacilli; Caryophanales; Paenibacillaceae.